GGGAUAUCGCACAAUGGGGGAAACCCUGAUGCAGCGACGCCGCGUGAGUGAAGAAGUAUUUCGGGAUGUAAAGCUCUAUCAGCAGGGAAGAUAAUGACGGUACCUGAGUAAGAAGCCCCGGCCAACUACGUGCCAGCAGCCGCGGUAAUACGUAGGGGGCAAGCGUUAUCCGGAUUUACUGGGUGUAAAGGGAGCGUAGACGGCAGGGCAAGUCUGAUGUGAAAGCCCGGGGCUCAACCCCGGGACUGCAUUGGAAACUGUCAGGCUAGAGUGCAGGAGAGGUGAGCGGAAUUCCUAGUGUAGCGGUGAAAUGAGUAGAUAUUAGGAGGAACACCAGUGGCGAAGGCGGCUCACUGGACUGUAACUGACGUUGAGGCUCGAAAGCGUGGGGAGCAAACA
RNAcentral lists this ribosomal RNA (399 nucleotides) under uncultured bacterium. RNAcentral's name for it is "bacterial SSU rRNA". It matches the Rfam family "Bacterial small subunit ribosomal RNA", at positions 358 to 774 of the family's 1533-position model. The record is from RNAcentral.